GAUGAACGCUAGCGAUUGGCCUAACACAUGCAAGUCGAGGGGCAGCACGGGAGUAGCAAUACAACUGGUGGCGACCGGCGCACGGGUGAGUAACGCGUAUGUAAUCUACCUACAACAGGGGGAUAACCCGGAGAAAUCCGGACUAAUACCGCAUAAAACAGGGGUCCCGCCUGGGACUAUUUGUUAAAGAUUUAUCGGUUGUAGAUGAGCAUGCGUUCCAUUAGAUAGUUGGUAAGGUAACGGCUUACCAAGUCAGCGAUGGAUAGGGGAACUGAGAGGUUUGUCCCCCACACUGGAACUCGGACACGGACCAGACUCCUACGGGAGGCAGCAGUGAGGAAUAUUGGUCAAUGGGCGAGAGCCUGAACCAGCCAAAUCGCGUGAAGGAAGACUGCCUUAUGGGUUGUAAACUUCUUUUACAGGGGAAUAAAAAGACAUACGAGUAUGUCAUUGCAUGUACCCUGUGAAUAAGCAUCGGCUAACUCCGUGCCAGCCGCCGCCGUAA
This 505-nucleotide ribosomal RNA is filed under the name uncultured bacterium. RNAcentral describes it as "partial 16S ribosomal RNA". It matches the Rfam family "Bacterial small subunit ribosomal RNA", at positions 28 to 523 of the family's 1533-position model. The record is from RNAcentral.